Molecule: ribosomal RNA, 497 nt
Filed under: uncultured bacterium
Lineage: Bacteria
Description: partial 16S ribosomal RNA
Rfam family: Bacterial small subunit ribosomal RNA
Source: RNAcentral
GAUGAACGCUGGCGGCGUGCCUAAUACAUGCAAGCCGAGCGAACGGACGAGAAGCUUGCUUCUCUGAUGUUAGCGGCGGACGGGUGAGUAACACGUGGAUAACCUACCUAUAAGACUGGGAUAACUUCGGGAAACCGGAGCUAAUACCGGAUAAUAUUUUGAACCGCAUGGUUCAAAAGUGAAAGACGGUCUUGCUGUCACUUAUAGAUGGAUCCGCGCUGCAUCAGCUAGUUGGUAAGGUAACGGCUUACCAAGGCAACGAUGCAUAGCCGACCUGAGAGGGUGAUCCGCCCCACUGGAACUUGGACACGGUCCAGACUCCUACGGGAGGCAGCCGUAGGGAAUCUUCCGCAAAGGGCGAAAGCCUGACGGAGCAACGCCGCGUGAGUGAUGAAGGUCUUCGGAUCGUAAAACUCUGUUAUUAGGGAAGAACAUAUGUGUAAGUAACUGUGCACAUCUUGACGGUACCUAAUCAGAAAGCCACGGCUAACUACGUG